GGACGAACGCUGGCGGCGUGCUCAUACAUGCAAGUCGAACGAGAAACUGACUUCGGUCAGUGGAAAGUGGCGGACGGGUGAGUAAAAUGUAGAGAAUCUGCCCUAGAGAGUGGGACAACAGAGGGAAACUUCUGCUAAUACCGCAUAUGCGCGUAGCUGAGAUGCUAUUCGUGAAAACUCCGGUGCUCUGGGAUGAGUCUGCAUCUGAUUAGCUAGUUGGCGGUGUAAUGGACCACCAAGGCGACGAUCAGUAGCUGGUUUGAGAGGAUGAUCAGCCACAAUGGGACUGAGACACGGCCCAUACUCCUACGGGAGGCAGCAGUAGGGAAUUUUGCGCAAUGGGGGAAACCCUGAACCGCAGCAACGCCGCGUGAUUGAAGAAGCCCUUCGGGGUGUAAAGAUCUGUCAGUGGGGACGAAACUUGACGGUACCCACAGAGGAAGCAUCGGCUAACUCCGUGCCAGCCGCGGC
Molecule: ribosomal RNA, 471 nt
Filed under: uncultured bacterium
Lineage: Bacteria
Description: bacterial SSU rRNA
Rfam family: Bacterial small subunit ribosomal RNA
Source: RNAcentral